This 442-nucleotide ribosomal RNA is filed under the name uncultured bacterium. Its description in RNAcentral is "partial 16S ribosomal RNA". It matches the Rfam family "Bacterial small subunit ribosomal RNA", at positions 338 to 795 of the family's 1533-position model. The record is from RNAcentral.
CCUACGGGUGGCAGCAGUAGGGAAUCUUUCACAAUGGGCGAAAGCCUGAUGGAGCAACGCCGCGUGCAGGAUGAAGGCCUUCGGGUUGUAAACUGCUUUUAUAAGCGAGAAAUAUGAUGGUAACUUAUGAAUAAGGAUCGGCUAACUACGUGCCAGCAGCCGCGGUCAUACGUAGGAUCCGAGCAUUAUCCGGAGUGACUGGGUGUAAAGAGUUGCGUGGGUGGCAUAAUAAGUAGCUAGUGAAAUCUGGUGGCUCAACCAUUCAGACUAUUAGCUAAACUGUUAAGCUCGAGACCGGUAGGGGUAACUGGAAUUUCUAGUGUAGGAGUGAAAUGCGUAGAUAUUAGAAGGAACACCAAUAGCGUAGGCAGGUUACUGGGACGGUUCUGACACUAAGGCACGAAAGCGUAGGGAGCAAACGGGAUUAGAUACCCGAGUAGUC